GAAAAGAAACCAACAGGGAUUGCCCUAGUAACGGCGAGUGAAGCGGCAACAGCUCAAAUUUGAAAGCUAGCCUUCGGGUUCGCAUUGUAAUUUGUAGAGGAUGCUUUGGGGCAGCCGCCUGUCUAAGUUCCUUGGAACAGGACGUCAUAGAGGGUGAGAAUCCCGUAUGUGACAGGACAUGGCACCCUAUGUAAAGCUCCUUCGACGAGUCGAGUUGUUUGGGAAUGCAGCUCUAAAUGGGAGGUAAAUUUCUUCUAAAGCUAAAUACCGGCGAGAGACCGAUAGCGCACAAGUAGAGUGAUCGAAAGAUGAAAAGCACUUUGGAAAGAGAGUUAAAAAGCACGUGAAAUUGUUGAAAGGGAAGCGCUUGCAAUCAGACUUGUCUUUAACUGUUCGGCCGGUCUUCUGACCGGUUUACUCAGUAAUCGACAGGCCAGCAUCAGUUUCGGCGGUCGGAUAAAGGCCUUGGGAAUGUGGCUCUGCCUUCGGGUAGAGUGUUAUAGCCCAGGGUGUAAUACGGCCAGCCGGGACUGAGGUCCGCGAUUCGUCUAGGAUGCUGGCGUAAUGGUUGUAAGCGACCCGUUGAAAACCCGGGGCAAAAAGAACGCCCCCCCGGGCGGGGCCAAAAAAACCGCCGGGGGAACGAAAAUGUACCCCCAGGGGGAGAGCCCC
This 672-nucleotide ribosomal RNA is filed under the name Saccothecium rubi. Its description in RNAcentral is "partial large subunit ribosomal RNA". It matches the Rfam family "Eukaryotic large subunit ribosomal RNA", at positions 56 to 747 of the family's 3401-position model. Lineage: Eukaryota; Fungi; Ascomycota; Dothideomycetes; Dothideales; Saccotheciaceae. The record is from RNAcentral.